RNAcentral lists this long non-coding RNA (2338 nucleotides) under Homo sapiens (human). RNAcentral describes it as "HSALNT0407037". Lineage: Eukaryota; Metazoa; Chordata; Mammalia; Primates; Hominidae. The record is from RNAcentral.
UCAGCAUUAUGAAAACGAACUAAUACAGAUAUACAAUUAGCCCUUGUCUUAUGACUUUGAGAAUCACAGAGUUGGAAGGAGAUUUAAUGGCUAGUCAAUUCAAUAUUAUACUUAAUAGAGGACCAUCUUGUGGACACAGAAGCACAAGAUCGCAUCCAUGUGGUAGGCCUUCAAAUCCUUAAAAAUAGUAGGUUCUAUGAUUUCUCUUUUCCAUUUUAAAUAUUCCAAAUGUCGUAAUGUCCCCAUUUUAUAUAAUGGACAUACAAGACAAGCAUUGCAGAUUUACCAGAUAUGCUGAUCUUCAGACUGCUCUUCCUCAUUGCCAGCUAGAUUUGACUGAGCUUCACAUUAGCUUCAAACAGAGUGGGAAGUUAGAAAAUGACAGGGUAGGCAUGGAUGUUGACCUACGUGGGUCCUUGAGAUGGUGUGAUAGGCCCCCCAGUGUGUCCAGCGUUCCACAAUGUGGAACCUGUGAAUACAUUCCUUUGCAUCGCAAAAGAUUUUGCAAAUGUGACCAAGUUAAGGAGCUUGCCAUGGAGAGAGCAUCCUGUAUCCUCCAAGUGGGCCCAAUGUCAUCACAAGGGUCCUUAUAAGAGGGAGGGAGGUGGGUCAGAGUCAAAGAAGGAAUGUGAGAAGCAGAGGUUGGAGUAAUGAAAGGAAGGGGCUAUAUAUCAAGGAAUGCUGGCAGUCUCUAGAAACCAGAAAAAUCAAGAAAACGGAUUCUCCCCUAGAACUUCCAGAAGACAUGCAGCCCUGCCAACACCUUGAUUUUAGCCCAGUAAGACCCCUUUCAGAUUUCUGCCCUCCAGAACUAUAAAAGGACAUAUCUGUGUGCUUUAAGUCACUGAGUUUAUGGUAAUUUGUCACAGCAGUAACAGGAAACCAAUAGAGAUGGGAAAUGUGUGAUUGGUUAGUGAUGAGUGUAAUAAUACGAGCUUGCUGUGCACUGAACACUUUACAUAUGCUACCUUAUUUCAUCCCAGCACAACACUGGGAGUCAAUUUCUCAUUUCCCAGAUACAGAAAUGAACUUAGAUUAAGUAACUUGUCCAAAGCCAGCAAGCUAGAAAGCGUCAUUGAGGGGUGAAGAUUGAACCCAGGUUUCAAGUCUUUCUGAGCCCUUGCCUCUGUGCUAUACUUUACCAUCCUGAUAGGGAGUUGAGCCCCUGGCUUGGGAGAUUGGGGGUAAUGUCGCCAUUGAGUGAGCUAACAAAUUCAAGAAGAGAAAAGGAGAAGAGGAGGUUUUCCUAUAAUUGCAGGUGACAGAACCAGCAUGGUCCAGUGGGCACUUAAGUGCACUGUCGCCUUCCCUACUUUUGAUGUUUUGGGACUCUGACUGAUCCACCACUGGCUUCCUUGUUCCUCAGCUUGCAGACAGCCUGUUGUGGGACUUCACCUUGUGAUUGUGCGUGACUUCUUAAUCCUGUAUUGACAUGGAAUGAUACUCUAGUCAUCUUGGCUUGAUCUAGUGUGCCUCAUUGUCCUGAUCAGAAAAAUCAGAAACUUUGGGGGACCUGAAACAUCAUCUCUCUGGACUUGUUGCAAAGAUGGAAGGUAACACCCUGGAGAUGGUAGAGCAUUGAGACGAGAAGAGUGUGGGUCAUUGAAGACUUCAUGAAACACAGCAGCCACACACCAGCUCUGGACUGCCCCACCCUGACUUUGACAUUAGAGAAGUAAACUUCAUUUUCUUGAGCUACUGUGAUUUGAAAUCUUUGUUACCUACAGCUGGGGCUAAUCCUUUCUGAUACACAUGGCCACCAGCCAUACUAUGAGAAAGCCCCAGGUCAAGAGUGAGGAUCUGGGCUAUUCAAGAUGUAAGACAGGCAUGGCAAAUCUCACCCAUCAUUGACUCCCAGCUCACAUCCUCUGUCCACCUGAACCACAUUUAUAACAUGCUUAGUCCAACUUUUCCAUUUCCUUAGUCAAUUUUCUUUCUACUUUCUGUUAGGGCCAUUUCAUAAGAUGUUUCAAGUUUGUUGUUGUUGUUGUUUGUUUGUUUGUUUUUUAGCACAGUAGAAAUAGCAGUAGUUACUAAAUAGAAACAACACAAAUAGCAGAGAAUCUCAUAUGUAUGAAUGUCAUUAUGCAUGAAGUAAAAAAGAAACUUGAUAAGAAUCAAGUUUCGAAAAAGAAACCAUAAAAGGCAUUACUGUUCACUCAUAUAUGGCUUCCUUCCACUUUCUCUGGGGGUAAAUGGCACUCCCUGUGCAAGUCUCUUUUUAUGGUAGACAUGCAUAUCUGUUAUUUCUGUUUUAGGAUAUAGUGUGUCUCUCUAGGUCACAAAAGGCCAUUGUUGAUCAAGUUAUGAAGAGAAGAGUAUUAAUACCUCAUGAGCA